This 497-nucleotide ribosomal RNA is filed under the name uncultured bacterium. RNAcentral's name for it is "partial 16S ribosomal RNA". It matches the Rfam family "Bacterial small subunit ribosomal RNA", at positions 28 to 507 of the family's 1533-position model. The record is from RNAcentral.
GAUGAUCGCUGGCGGCGUGCCUAAUACAUGCAAGUCGAGCGAACGGACGAGAAGCUUGCUUCUCUGAUGUUAGCGGCGGACGGGUGAGUAACACGUGGAUAACCUACCUAUAAGACUGGGAUAACUUCGGGAAACCGGAGCUAAUACCGGAUAAUAUUUUGAACCGCAUGGUUCAAAAGUGAAAGACGGUCUUGCUGUCACUUAUAGAUGGAUCCGCGCUGCAUUAGCUAGUUGGUAAGGUAACGGCUUACCAAGGCAACGAUGCAUAGCCGACCUGAGAGGGUGAUCGGCCACACUGGAACUGAGACACGGACCAGACUCCUACGGGAGGCAGCAGUAGCGAAUCUUCCGCAAUGGGCGAAAGCCUGACGGAGCAACGCCGCGUGAGUGAUGAAGGUCUUCGGAUCGUAAAACUCUGUUAUUAGGGAAGAACAUAUGUGUAAGUAACUGUGCACAUCUUGACGGUACCUAAUCAGAAAGCCACGGCUAACUACGUG